Molecule: long non-coding RNA, 1087 nt
Filed under: Brassica rapa (field mustard)
Lineage: Eukaryota; Viridiplantae; Streptophyta; Magnoliopsida; Brassicales; Brassicaceae
Description: long non-coding RNA (BRAP_LNC003253)
Source: RNAcentral
GCUGGUUGAUGUCUAGAGAUGUUACAGUCUUAGGUACUUUUUCUGGAAAGCCAAUAAAUUUUGGGCCUGAAGCUAGCCUAUAAUAGGGGCAGAGCAGUUCAUGUGCAGCUUGAUGCAUGCAACGGAUGUCUGAACAUUGAACAAUGUAAAAGAUGAUCUCCAAUCUAUUCUCCAAUCACUGAUGAGACUAUCAAGUGCCACAUGGUGAAGAGUGGUGCGUUACCCAUUAGAGCAAUUCAUUUUUAAAAGAGUUUGUUACUGUUUUUCAAUACGCCACCACCCUAGAAUGGUACUAAUGUUUUAAAUUUUGAUUUUUAAUAUUGGUGAACAUUGUAUUUAUAUAUCUACAAUCACAAUUUGCUCCAUAAUUUCGGUUUUAUUUAGAAUUUGCAAGGAACAAGAAGGUGGUUUUUCUUGGGAAAAAAUCAAUAUUCCAAAAUUCAAUUUAUAUUUUGUAUCAGUUUAUCGUAAUCUUAUCCUUCCAUAAAAUGAAACGAAGAGAAAUUCCAUUGGUAUUCUGAAUAUUGAUGUGUAGGCAUACCCAUCAUGAUGUUGUGAUUGAAAACGAUUGAUCCAAUUAAUAGGAAUAUGAAAUAAGUUAGGAUUAUGUCGAAUAUUAUAGGAUUGGUCUUUGCCUAUGUCGUUGAAGACUCUACUUGGAGGUCCCCCCAAUCCUUUCAAUAAUUGUCUUUUCCAAAUAAAUAAAACUUAAAACAUAUUUAGUAUUAUCUUCGAAUUUCAGUUUAUUUGAAGUCUUAAUUUCAGUUUAUAAUUGUUGAGAGGUCUCCUUUAUUUUAUCUUUGUUUUUGAACUUUAUACUAUUAUAAUUGUGUAGACAUGCUACAAGGGGUACAUCAAAAGACAAAGCAUAUCAAAGGAGACGUAAGUCAUGCCAUAUGCUGGUGGGUUUCCAUAUUUGUUCAUGUGAUGCUACCAAAGACCCAUAAAAUCCCUCCCCCCUCCCAAAAGCUAUCCAUUAUUUUGUUUUAUAAACUUUUUUUUUUGAUAAAAUUGUUUUAUAAACUUGUUUAGAUUCUUUGAAGCUUGGAGUUUCUUCGAUCAUAUCGGUACCUACUUUUAUUUUUUU